GAUGAACGCUAGCGGCAGGCCUAAUACAUGCAAGUCGAACGAGAUUAAGAGGCUUGCUUCUUAUGAAAGUGGCGCACGGGUGCGUAACGCGUAUGCAACCUACCUUAAUCAGGGGGAUAGCCCGAAGAAAUUCGGAUUAAGACCGCAUAAAAACACAGGAUAGCAUUAUCCAAUGUUCAAAUAUUUAUAGGAUUAAGAUGGGCAUGCGUGUCAUUAGCUAGUUGGCGGGGUAACGGCCCACCAAGGCGACGAUGACUAGGGGAUCUGAGAGGAUGACCCCCCACACUGGUACUGAGACACGGAUCAGACUCCUACGGGAGGCAGCAGUAAGGAAUAUUGGUCAAUGGAGGGAACUCUGAACCAGCCAUGCCGCGUGCAGGAAGACAGCCCUCUGGGUCGUAAACUGCUUUUAUUCGGGAAUAAACCUUUCUACGUGUAGGAAGCUGAAUGUACCGAAGGAAUAAGGAUCGGCUAACUCCGUG
Molecule: ribosomal RNA, 482 nt
Filed under: uncultured bacterium
Lineage: Bacteria
Description: partial 16S ribosomal RNA
Rfam family: Bacterial small subunit ribosomal RNA
Source: RNAcentral